CCAGCAGCCGCGGUAAUACGAAGGGGGCUAGCGUUGUUCGGAUUUACUGGGCGUAAAGCGCGUGUAGGCGGCCUCUUAAGUCUGGUGUGAAAGCCCGGGGCUUACCCCCGGAAGGGCACUGGAAACUGGGUGGCUGGAGUACCGGAGAGGAGGGUGGAAUUCCUGGUGUAGCGGUGAAAUGCGUAGAUAUCAGGAGGAACACCGGUGGUGUAAACGGCUCUCUGGGACGGUACUGACGCUGAGACGCGAAAGCGUGGGGAGCGAACAGGAUUAGAUACCCUGGUA
RNAcentral lists this ribosomal RNA (285 nucleotides) under uncultured delta proteobacterium. Its description in RNAcentral is "partial 16S ribosomal RNA". It matches the Rfam family "Bacterial small subunit ribosomal RNA", at positions 508 to 792 of the family's 1533-position model. The record is from RNAcentral. Lineage: Bacteria; Deltaproteobacteria.